GGUAAAAUGGCUGAGAGUAAGCAAUAAAUUGUAAAUUUAUUUACGGAAAAUAUUCCUUUUACCA
RNAcentral lists this transfer RNA (64 nucleotides) under Tenerus flavicollis. RNAcentral's name for it is "tRNA-Tyr". It matches the Rfam family "tRNA". Rfam says of the family: Transfer RNA (tRNA) molecules are approximately 80 nucleotides in length. Their secondary structure includes four short double-helical elements and three loops (D, anti-codon, and T loops). Further hydrogen bonds mediate the characteristic L-shaped molecular structure. tRNAs have two regions of fundamental functional importance: the anti-codon, which is responsible for specific mRNA codon recognition, and the 3' end, to which the tRNAs corresponding amino acid is attached (by aminoacyl-tRNA synthetases). tRNAs cope with the degeneracy of the genetic code in two manners: having more than one tRNA (with a specific anti-codon) for a particular amino acid; and 'wobble' base-pairing, i.e. permitting non-standard base-pairing at the 3rd anti-codon position. Lineage: Eukaryota; Metazoa; Arthropoda; Insecta; Coleoptera; Cleridae. The record is from RNAcentral.